This 21-nucleotide unclassified non-coding RNA is filed under the name Mus musculus (house mouse). RNAcentral describes it as "oocyte_clustered_small_RNA7619". The record is from RNAcentral. Lineage: Eukaryota; Metazoa; Chordata; Mammalia; Rodentia; Muridae.
AACUCAGGUCAGAAAGCAGGA